UAAUCCUGUGACCUUGUCCUGCCCUUGCUUCUGGCCUCCUGGACACCUGACCUUUCUUUCCACUUAUGCGGUGUCACCCUGCUCACACCCGAGUCUCAUGUUCCCUCUUCCUCUUUGUGGGCCAUGAAUCUAACUUCCUGGUCCUCUUGGUGGAUUUCUGCUUUUGUUCACAGGGGAAAUCUGCUGGGGAACCCAUGCGCCUCUCCCAAGGCACCCACACAGCCACAUGCUUCCCCGACCACAGGGCUGUGACCCCAGGUCUGCGACCCCAGGUCUGCAUUUCUCCGAAAGAAUGACCUCGUUCCCUCCCCCGGCAAUGGUGGGGUCAUCAUGUGAUAGAGGAUUGUCCAGACGACAAACGGAACCAGAUGAUGAUCACAGGGAAAGCCAAGUAUGGAAAAACCUGAGCAAACAUUUCGGAGCUCCCUGUGUAACUUCUCAUGUCCCUUCUCGGUCCAUGGGUAUCUACCGUGAUGAACAGCAUAAAAGGUAA
RNAcentral lists this long non-coding RNA (493 nucleotides) under Capra hircus (goat). RNAcentral's name for it is "lncRNA (ENSCHIG00000003701.1)". Lineage: Eukaryota; Metazoa; Chordata; Mammalia; Artiodactyla; Bovidae. The record is from RNAcentral.